This 460-nucleotide ribosomal RNA is filed under the name uncultured bacterium. RNAcentral's name for it is "partial 16S ribosomal RNA". It matches the Rfam family "Bacterial small subunit ribosomal RNA", at positions 338 to 795 of the family's 1533-position model. The record is from RNAcentral.
CCUACGGGUGGCAGCAGUGAGGAAUAUUGGUCAAUGGACGAGAGUCUGAACCAGCCAAGUAGCGUGAAGGAUGACUGCCCUAUGGGUUGUAAACUUCUUUUAUAUGGGAAUAAAACGUUCCACGUGUGGGAUUUUGUAUGUACCAUAUGAAUAAGCAUCGGCUAACUCCGUGCCAGCAGCCGCGGUAAUACGGAGGAUCCGAGCGUUAUCCGGAUUUAUUGGGUUUAAAGGGAGCGUAGGUGGAUUGGUAAGUCAGUUGUGAAAGUUUGCGGCUCAACCGUAAAAUUGCAGUUGCAACUGGCAGUCUUGAGUACAGUAGAGGUGGGCGGAAUUCGUGGUGUAGCGGUGAAAUGCUUAGAUAUCACGAAGAACACCGAUUGCGAAGGCAGUUCACUGGACUGCAACUGACACUGAGGCUCGAAAGUGUGGGUAUCAAACAGGAUUAGAUACCCCAGUAGUC